CAGCAGCCACGGGAAUACGUAGGUGGCAAGCGUUGUCCGGAAUUAUUGGGCGUAAAGGGCUCGCAGGCGGUUUCUUAAGUCUGAUGUGAAAGCCCCCGGCUCAACCGGGGAGGGUCAUUGGAAACUGGGAAGCUUGAGUGCAGAAGAGGAGAGUGGAAUUCCACGUGUAGCGGUGAAAUGCGUAGAGAUGUGGAGGAACACCAGUGGCGAAGGCGACUCUCUGGUCUGUAACUGACGCUGAGGAGCGAAAGCGUGGGGAGCGAACAGGAUUAGAUACCCCUGUAGUCCCUGUCUCUUAUAC
Molecule: ribosomal RNA, 301 nt
Filed under: uncultured bacterium
Lineage: Bacteria
Description: partial 16S ribosomal RNA
Rfam family: Bacterial small subunit ribosomal RNA
Source: RNAcentral